RNAcentral lists this transfer RNA (57 nucleotides) under Dolomedes angustivirgatus. Its description in RNAcentral is "tRNA-Cys". Lineage: Eukaryota; Metazoa; Arthropoda; Arachnida; Araneae; Dolomedidae. The record is from RNAcentral.
AUUCUAUAAGUUAUAAUAACAUUAAAUUGCAAAUUUAAAAACAUAAUUAUGAAAUCA